UGUAUUAUGUAUAACUAUAUAGUCUUUUAGUCUAUUAUAUUCUUUAAUACUAAUAGUCUAUUAUUUAUAUACUAAUACUUAUAGUCAUUAUAUUCUUUAAUGUAUAACAAUAUAGUUGCUAGAAGUGUGCUCAAAGGUAUGUAGCCCCAUUUUGAAUGGGGGUUUGGGCAUUAGAAAUAUGAGAAUCUUCAAUCGGGCAUUAUUAGGUAAAUGGCUGUGGAGAUACCAUAAGGAACCUGAUGCCUUGUGGAAGAUCGUAAUAGAGAGCAAAUAUGGGGACCUAUGGGGGGGUUGGUGUGCAAAAGAAGUGAGAGGAGAUCAUGGAGUGGGUUUGUGGAUACAUAUAAGAAAAGGGUGGGAGGUCUUCAAUCGUUAUACCUGAAUCCGUUUAGGAGGAGGAACCCGUAUUAAGUUUUGGUAUGACACUUGGUGUGAUCAGGGGGCUCUAAAGGAAUCUUUUCCUUCUUUAUUCAGAAUUGCAAAAGAUAGUGAUGCCUCAGUAGCUGAUGUAGUGGAAAGAUCAGGGGAGCAAAUUCAAUGGAACAUCCACUUUAGUAGGACGGCACAAGAUUGGGAGAUGAGCAAUAUUGACGCCUUUUACAGCCUUUUGUAUUGUAUUAAACCGGGUAAUUCACAGGAUAGUUUAUAGUGGAUACCUACAGUUAAAGGUGCUUUUUCGGUGUGCUCUUUCUAUAAGUCUCUUACCCAAGAGACACCUAUUCAGUUUCCAUGGCGAAAGAUAUGGAGACAUAAGGCGCCACCCAAAGCAGCUUUCUUUGUGUGGACUUCAGCAUUGGGUAAGAUUCUUACAACUGAUAACUUGAGGAAGCGCAGGGUGAUUAUCGCAGAUUGGUGCUGCAUGUGCAAGAAGGGAGGUGAAUCGGUGAACCACCUCUUAAUACUCUGUGAGGUAGCGAUAAGGUUAUGGAAUGAGGUUCUUGGCAGAUUGGAAUUGGCUUGGGUUAUGCCGGAGACGGUGGUUGGGGUUUGGCCAGUUGGAAAAAUAUGAGAGUAAAUCAACAGUAAAAAGCGGUGUGGAAGAUGAUUCCUAUAUGUAUUGUGUGGUGUUUAUGGCGAGAGCGCAAUGACAGGACGUUCGAGGAUAGAGAGAUCGAUGGAGGAUUUGAAAGUUUUUUUCUUUAGAACUCUUUGUGCUUGGACCAUAGCGGUUGACUUCAAUGGAUUGGGGUUACAUGAAUUCCUUAUAUCCAUUGAUCAAACCUAGAACUGGUGACUAAUCUUUGUAUCAGGCUUUUUGCCUUCAUUUUUGAUAAUAUAAUUAAUUUACUUAUCAAAAAAAAUAUAGUUGCUAUAUAGACUUGUAGUAUUAAUAAUUUAAUAUCAUUAUAUGUAGUAGUAACACUAAUACUAUAAUAGUAUUAGUUAUUGUUUUGUAUUUAAAUUGCUUUCUAUUUAAUAAUAUCGUUGUUGUUGGGUUUAAUCAUUUUAUUUUAUUGAUAUUGAGUUGUAGUUUUUUUAAUUGUCUUGUAUUUAUUUUAUUGUAUCAUUAUUUUAUUAGACCCUCUACUUUUGGACUGGGCUUGUUUUCUGAGAGUUGAGAUUGUGUGAGUAGAGUGGUACUCUUGUAACUCACUGUGUGUGAUUGUAAUCUCUGGAAUAAAAUCCAUUACAGCUCUAUCGACGUAUGCACCUUGACGAACUACGUUAAUUUUGUGUUGUGUGAUUUCUUGCUUUUAUUUGUUUGUCAUUGUUGGUUUCACAACAGAAACUUCAAUAUAUUGCUCUCUAUUUUAUUCACAUUCUAUUUUUUCUCAUCCAAAUUGGAGUUGUAUGUUGUAGUUUCUAUGACUUCUAAAUAAGUCUUUAUUAGAUAGCUAUUAUAGUGUCUUUUCUUCUGUCCUUUUGUCAAUAUAAAUCAUGGAUAUUGUUUAUAUGUGACUUCUAAAAACUGGUUUGGAACUGGGAGAAUAUAAAGGUACAAGUGAUUUGAUGUGUUAGAAGUGACAAGAAAUAAGAUACAAGUAUUUGGUGUUGGAUUGCUAACUAGAAAGUUGAAACCCAGUUAGGAUAUAGAAAGCCCAAUUUGUGAUGAAUAUUUAUGAAUAGUCUUUAUUUCUUGAAUCUAUUUUAUCUACCACCUAGUAUUUUGUUAGGGUUAGUCUAUACUUUCAAUUAUGGUGUCAAAGUGAAUAUACCUAAAUUGCUUUCUUGGAAUGCUAGAGGUUUGAAGGAUGUUAACAAGCAUCUCAUGAUUAAAAAUCUCAUUAAAUAAUUUUAGGAAAAUAUCAUUUGUUUACAAGAGACUAAGCUGGAUUUAUUUCUAGAAGUGUGCUCAAAAGUGGAUUACUGUCGACAUCUAGUGGGGCUUCUAGUGGAGUCUUGCUCAUGGGACAAAAGGGUGGUGGAGUCCAUGUGGUAAUAUACAAUGGCAUGUUUUUCAGGAAUGUUGAAGAUGGUUUUAUUGGUCCUCUAUGGUGUUUAUUGGUGUUAUUGUGAUCACAAAGAAGGCUUUUGUGGGAGGAAUUGGCUGGUUUGAGUAGUUUGUGGGAAGAAUUGUGGUGUAUUUAGAUGUCAUUUCAGUGUUAUCCGUUUCCCUACCGAAAGAUCAGCUGAAGCUCAUUCCUGUUGCGUAUGGAGGCUUCCUUUAACUUUAUUUGUGAUCAGGCCUUUUGGAUAUUCCCUCAGGCGGAGGGAUUUUUACGUGGUCUAACAACUGGGACUCACCUUCUUGGUCUAGAAUCGAUAGAUUUCGUCUCCUUGAAGUGUGAAGCACAUUUUUCAGAUCCAAGUCAAAAUAGGUUGCUCUUACUUUUCUCUAAUCAUUUUCUAAUUCUUUGUAUUGAUUGUGGUGGUAAUAGUACUUCAAGUUCGAGAAUCUGUGGUCAAAGGUUGUAGGCUUUGUUGAUAGGGUUAAUUAGUUUGGUCUUUCUACCAUUUUCACAGCCCUCCAAGCUUCAUUUUGGCCUGUAAACUUGUAGGUGGAUGCCUUUACUAGGUUCUUUAACCUGUUGUAUUCAACUAGUUGGAGACAAAGGUUAAAACAAGCUUCUUUGGGCCCCUUCCAAGAGAUAGAUGCUUAAUGUUCGUUCUUUCUACAUGGCCCUAUUCCUCAUGAUAACAACCCCUGAGAGCUGCCUUUUUUGCUUGGACAGCUUCUUUUGGAAAUAUUCUCACCAUGGAUAAUUGGCGGGGCAGGGAGAUAUUCUUACCAGAUAUGAUCGAGACACACACAACACUGCUGGACAUGGGAUGCUGUCUUUUAUGGAUGCUUUCACUUGAUAUAAGCGGAUCAAGAUGGCCGAGGAAGACAGAGAGAAAACAAUGUUUAUCACCAUAUCAGAUAGGAGGCACGUUCUGUUACAAGGUGAUGUGUUAUUCGGGAGAGAGAAAAAAUUAUUGAAAUUCGAAAGGUAGAAAACAACCUCUGUGGCAGGAUUUACCAGGUAUAAUUCAACGGGAACCUAUCCCAUCCUGUGGUCCUGAACCAACAUUCAAUCCUGAAAAGAGAGCUCAGUAGCGUUAAUCUGGAUCUGUCUAAAUUCAAAGCCUGUCAAAAGUGGCUCCUCACUUGAAAUCACACAAAGAAUCUGAGCCCCGAAUAAAAACCCCCUUCCCUUUGGACUCCAUAUAUCUUUUUAACUUUAUAUAUGUAGCUUGCUUUGCUUGUCCAACAACGACAAAGGAAAAGAUGAGAUAUGCCUUGCCCAAGUCAGCACUGGCAAAGUUCUCUUGAUUCCUUGUGCCGUCCAUCACUGCAAAACAGAUUGAGCUGCAGGCAUUCUAAAGAAAAAAAGACAUUGUUGCGAUUGAUUAGUGUUGCACAUGUAAGAGGAUUGGGGAGUUUGUUGAUCAUCUUUUACUCCAUUCCAAGAUUUUUAGUGCUUUGUGUAGUGAGUUUUUUGAUAGAGUUGGUUUGGCUUGGGCCAUGCCCAAAAGAAUAGCAGACCUUUUUGACUCUUGGAGCAGUUUAGCUGGCAGCACAUAAGUUGCAACAGUGUAAAAGAUGGUUCCUACUUACCUCAUAUGGUGUAUUUGGAGAGAAAAUAAUGAUUUCUUUAUUUGUUUCUCCUUUUAGAUAGUUGUUUCUCUUGUAUAUCCAAUAUACUUGGAUUGGGCCUUUUGUGUUGUUUAAUGAGGUUUUAUUACUCAUCAAAAGUUAACAUUGAUGGUGUAGAUAACUGUUUACUGUGAAGGUUUAAACAUAUUACCAGUUUUGAGUCAUUACUAAAAGUAGCGGAUGUGGUACUUGUAAUUAAAUAGUAUAGAUAGUUUGCCGGCAACAUUGAUAGAUCUCUUGAAGGCUCUCUGUGUACACAGAAAGUAUACAAAAGAACACCUAAAUAAAUUCUAGGAACCAUAAAUUAAAGUCAGAAAAUCAUGAACACUGGUUCCAUUAAGUACAAUGGUUGAAAACCAAAGCAAUAACGUAUGUAUGAACACCUAUCUUCAAAGGACUGAUCAUUCAUUUCCAUGCAGAUACACCACAUAAUGUACAAAAGAAUCAUCCUCCAAACUGUUGCCACUUGGGGGCAGCCUUGAAUAUUCUUUCAGUAGGCUAAUAAAUUCACCACUCUCAAAGGCAUAACCCAAGCCACCCCAAUUCUUCUAAAGACCUCAUCCCACAACACUCUUGUCACUUCACAAUGCAAUAAUUAAUGAUUAAUUGAUUCCCCAUCCUUCUUGCACAAAUAGCACCAAUCCAUAACAAUGUGACACCACUUCCUCUGUGGUCAAGAUAUUCUCAAGAGAGGCGGUCUGUACAAAGAAAGCUACUUUACAGGGCACAUGAGACCUCCAAAUGCUCUUGCACAAGGAAGGAGCAUUACCAUGUGAUGCCAACAUCUUGUAAUAAGAUCUGAUUGUAAACCUUUUGCUCCCUUUGGGCCUCCAUUGCAUCUAGGGGUGAGCACUGACUUAGUCAGAAUUGGAUUCCCUUAAAUCCGAAUCCGACCUUGGCUUGUCGGAGUAGAGUUGGAUUUGGGCUUAUAGCUUUGAGUUUCUUUUUUUUAGCUUCGUAUUUAGUCCAUUUAAAAAAUAAUAUUUUUGCGG
Molecule: long non-coding RNA, 5010 nt
Organism: Carya illinoinensis
Lineage: Eukaryota; Viridiplantae; Streptophyta; Magnoliopsida; Fagales; Juglandaceae
Exons: 2
Source: RefSeq, a predicted model, not a curated record